AUAGAACGCUGACGGCAUGCCUUACACAUGCAAGUCGAACGGCAGCACGGGAGCAAUCCUGGUGGCGAGUGGCGAACGGGUGAGUAAUAUAUCGGAACGUGCCCAGUCGUGGGGGAUAACGCAGCGAAAGUUGUGCUAAUACCGCAUACGAUCUAUGGAUGAAAGCGGGGGAUCGCAAGACCUCGCGCGAUUGGAGCGGCCGAUAUCAGAUUAGCUAGUUGGUGGGGUAAAGGCCCACCAAGGCGACGAUCUGUAGCUGGUCUGAGAGGACGACCAGCCACACUGGAACUGAGACACGGUCCAGACUCCUACGGGAGGCAGCAGUGGGGAAUUUUGGACAAUGGGCGCAAGCCUGAUCCAGCAAUGCCGCGUGCAGGAUGAAGGCCUUCGGGUUGUAAACUGCUUUUGUACGGAACGAAACGGUCUGCCCUAAUACGGUGGGCUAAUGACGGUACCGUAAGAAUAAGCACCGGCUAACUACGUGCCAGCCGCCGCCGUAA
RNAcentral lists this ribosomal RNA (500 nucleotides) under uncultured bacterium. RNAcentral's name for it is "partial 16S ribosomal RNA". It matches the Rfam family "Bacterial small subunit ribosomal RNA", at positions 31 to 523 of the family's 1533-position model. The record is from RNAcentral.